Alnus glutinosa is the source of this 513-nucleotide long non-coding RNA. RefSeq lists it as uncharacterized. The record is from RefSeq and is a predicted model, not a curated record. The transcript has 3 exons. NCBI's taxonomy places the organism in Eukaryota, Viridiplantae, Streptophyta, Magnoliopsida, Fagales, Betulaceae.
GAUAGUGAAACCCGUGAAGCCCGUGACCCGCAACCCACCAGACCUGAGAGAGAGAACCCGGGUGGUUCGUGAACCCAUGAGGACCCGAUCCUCCAUUAACGAACUCCGGCGAACCAGAGACGAAUCGACGGCCUGAGACGCGAAAUCCGGCGAUGGAUGAGCAAUUUCUGGUGAGCCUUGCAACCGGUGAACCGUAGAAGGCCGUGAGACCCGGAGGAAACCCGUGACCUAGUGAUCCGUGACUCGAGACUCGUGAAACCCGACCCUUCAGGAACGAUUUUCCGACGAGUUUUCUGGCGAAAUCAUAUGCGAUUUCUGAUGGGUUUUUAAGGAAAAUUCCCAAGAUGAUGAACUGAGACUGAGACUGCGAAAAAUGGUUAUGUUUGCGCAGGUUCUGAAGAUUAUGGAAUGGAUUAACUACUAGCUUAAGAGAUUUAAAGCUAUGCAGUUAGGAUUAUAGUACUUUGUACUUAUAAUUGUUUAUACUAUUUUGUAUGUAACAUGUUUAGGAAU